GACGAACGCUGGCGGCGUGCUUAACACAUGCAAGUCGAACGGAAAGGCCCUGCUUUUGUGGGGUGCUCAAGUGGCGACCGGGUGCGUAACACGUGAGUAACCUGCCCUUGCCUUUGGGAUAACUUCAGGAAACUGGGGCUAAUACCGGAUAGGAGCUCCUGCUGCAUGGUGGGGGUUGGAAAGUUUCGGCGGUUGGGGAUGGACUCGCGGCUUAUCAGCUUGUUGGUGGGGUAGUGGCUUACCAAGGCUUUGACGGGUAGCCGGCCUGCGUGGGUGAACGGCCACAUUGGGACUGAGAUACGGCCCAGACUCCUACGGGAGGGAGCAGGGGGGAAUAUUGCACAAUGGGCGGAAGCCUGAUGCAGCAACGCCGCGUGCGGGAUGACGGCCUUCGGGUGGUAGACCGCUUUCGCCGGUGACGAAGCGUGAGUGACGGGAAUGGGGAAAGAAGCACCGGCUAACUACGUG
Molecule: ribosomal RNA, 468 nt
Filed under: uncultured bacterium
Lineage: Bacteria
Description: partial 16S ribosomal RNA
Rfam family: Bacterial small subunit ribosomal RNA
Source: RNAcentral